Long non-coding RNA from Trifolium pratense (red clover), 507 nucleotides. RefSeq lists it as uncharacterized. The transcript is spliced from 3 exons. The record is from RefSeq and is a predicted model, not a curated record. NCBI's taxonomy places the organism in Eukaryota, Viridiplantae, Streptophyta, Magnoliopsida, Fabales, Fabaceae.
GGAAGAAGUAGGGACAUCGAUGGCACUGGCAUGGCAGAAGAAGGAAAUCCAUGGUUUUCAAACCUAUCGAUUCUUCUCUCGUACUGCAUCAAGUGGAGUUAGAGAUAAAAUUGAUGAGAUUGAAUUCCAACCUCUUGAUCAGUGUUGCUGCUGCUGAUAUUGUAUAAGUACAAGUACCAAACUGGUUAUAACGGUAAAAUGGUGAACAUGGGGCCUGGAAGCAAGAUGCAGCAGUUGCAGAGAAAAGAGAAAUAGCAACAGAGAAAGAUUGAAGCAAAAAGGGGGAAAAUCUUAUUCAUGCAACUUGAAUGAUUACAACCAUUAUGAUCAAUCUUAUAUACUAAAGGAUGUAACUAACUAUCUAACUAUCUAACUAACUAUUACAACAAACUUAAAAACCAACUUGUAACUGCCUAACUAACUUUCACAAUGCAGUUAGCUUGUAAGGCAAGUAAGAUAGAAUCUAGUUGUUAUCUUUGUCAUUAACAUAGUGAAUGGCUGAUGACC